AUACGGAGGAUGCGAGCGUUAUCCGGAUUUAUUGGGUUUAAAGGGAGCGUAGGUGGGAUAUUAAGUCAGCUGUGAAAGUUUGGGGCUCAACCUUAAAAUUGCAGUUGAUACUGGUUUCCUUGAGUACGGUACAGGUGGGCGGAAUUCGUGGUGUAGCGGUGAAAUGCUUAGAUAUCACGAAGAACUCCGAUCGCGAAGGCAGCUCACCGGGCCGGAACUGACACUGAUGCUCGAAAGUGCGGUAUCAAACAGGAUUAGAUACCCUGGUAGUCCGCACAGUAAACGAUGAAUACUCGCUGUUUGCGAUACACGGUAAGCGGCCAAGCGAAAGCGUUAAGUAUUCCACCUGGGGAGUACGCCGGCAACGGUGAAACUCAAAGGAAUUGACGGGG
This 392-nucleotide ribosomal RNA is filed under the name uncultured bacterium. Its description in RNAcentral is "partial 16S ribosomal RNA". It matches the Rfam family "Bacterial small subunit ribosomal RNA", at positions 523 to 918 of the family's 1533-position model. The record is from RNAcentral.